AACGAACGCUGGCGGUAUGCCUAACACAUGCAAGUCGAACGAGACCUCAGGGUCAAGUGGCGCACGGGUGCGUAAAGCGUGGGAACCUGCCCUUAGGCUCGGAAUUACACUCCGAAAGGGGUGCUAAUACCGGGAAAUGUACUCGGACAAAAGAUUUAUCGCAUUUGGAUGGGCCCGCGUUGUAUUAGCUAGUCGGUAGGGUAAAAGCCUACGAAGGAGACGCUCGAUAGCUGGUCAGAGAGGCUGAUAAGCGACACUGGGACUGAGACGCGGCGCAGACUCCUGCGGGAGGGAGCAGUGGUUAAUAUAGCACAAUGGGCGAGAGCCUGAACCAGCAAUGCCUGGUGAGUGAUGAAGUCCGGAGAGUAGUAAAGCUCUUUUACCCGCGGUGGUAAUGACGGUACCGAAAGAAUAAGCUCCGGCUAACUCCGUG
This 433-nucleotide ribosomal RNA is filed under the name uncultured bacterium. RNAcentral's name for it is "partial 16S ribosomal RNA". It matches the Rfam family "Bacterial small subunit ribosomal RNA", at positions 29 to 507 of the family's 1533-position model. The record is from RNAcentral.